This 379-nucleotide unclassified non-coding RNA is filed under the name uncultured Oligoflexales bacterium. RNAcentral's name for it is "contains 16S-23S intergenic spacer region". Lineage: Bacteria; Pseudomonadati; Bdellovibrionota; Oligoflexia; Oligoflexales. The record is from RNAcentral.
UCCGUGUUAACCACGGCAGUCUCUCUAGAGAGCCCAACUUAAUGCUGGCAACUAAAGACAAGGGUUGCGCUCGUUGCGGGACUUAACCCAACAUGUCACCACACGAGCUGACGACAGCCAUGCAGCACCUGUCAUCCUGUGGUAUUGCUACCAAGACCGUAUUUCUACGGCUGUCAGGAGAUGUCAAACCCAGGUAAGGUUCUGCGCGUUGCUUCGAAUUAAACCACAUGAUCCACCGCUUGUGCGGGCCCCCGUCAAUUCCUUUGAGUUUUAGUCUUGCGACCGUACUUCCCAGGCGGGAUACUUAUUGCGUUAGCUCCGGCUCGGCGGGGGUCAAGACCCACCAAGCCUAGUAUCCAUCGUUUACGGCGUGGACUAC